Long non-coding RNA from Mauremys reevesii (Reeves's turtle), 359 nucleotides. RefSeq lists it as uncharacterized. The record is from RefSeq and is a predicted model, not a curated record. The transcript is spliced from 2 exons. NCBI's taxonomy places the organism in Eukaryota, Metazoa, Chordata, Testudines, Geoemydidae.
AUAUUUACCAUUGCCAACAGUUUUCUAAUUUUACCUCCUGCUCCUGUCAUAAAAGGAGUGCUAGAAGGAAAGUUAAAGUGACUUGUGUAGAGCAACAGGAACAUAUGCUAUUCAAUUUUCCCACAACUGCUCUUGGCUGAGAAUGACAAGCCUUAAGUCAGUGCCCAGAAGAUGGAAAAAUACAAGAAAAACACAUCCAGAAUGACUACCGAGAUACCACUUGUUGAUAUCAACUCAUAUAGUGGGUUCUAAGAUAGCUGUAGUAGAAAUCCAUAAGUCUUCAGGAAUGUAUGUGUUGAAUUUUCUAAUGACCUGCUUAUUGCUUUCUGGAAAUAAUAAUGGAACUACCAAAAAGGGCU